This 64-nucleotide transfer RNA is filed under the name Anopheles paludis. RNAcentral describes it as "tRNA-His". RNAcentral also lists the same sequence under 1 other name. The record is from RNAcentral. Lineage: Eukaryota; Metazoa; Arthropoda; Insecta; Diptera; Culicidae.
AUUUAAAUAGUUUAAUAAAAAUAUUGAUUUGUGGUGUCAAUGAUAUGAGAUUUCAUUUUAGAUC